GGCCCAAUGGUGAAAGGAAUCACACCCGCCUUCAUUGUAACGCAAGAAAAUGCCUAGUCAGCGGGAGAUCCCGGUUCGACUCUGGGUUGGGUCA
This is a non-coding RNA of Mycena epipterygia, 94 nucleotides long. The record is from the annotation of a GenBank genome assembly. Lineage: Eukaryota; Fungi; Basidiomycota; Agaricomycetes; Agaricales; Mycenaceae.